GAUGAACGCUGGCGGCGUGCCUAAUACAUGCAAGUCGAGCGAACGGACGAGAAGCUUGCUUCUCUGAUGUUAGCGGCGGACGGGUGAGUAACACGUGGAUAACCUACCUAUAAGACUGGGAUAACUUCGGGAAACCGGAGCUAAGACCGGAUAAUAUUUUGAACCUCAUGGUUCAAAAGUGAAAGACGGUCUUGCUGUCACUUAUAGAUGGAUCCGCGCUGCAUUAGCUAGUUGGUAAGGUAACGGCUUACCAAGGCAACGAUGCAUAGACGACCUGAGGGGGUGAUCGGACACACGGGAACUGAGACACGGUCCAGACUCUUACGGGAGGCAGCAGUAGGGAAUCUUCCGCAAUGGGCGAAAGCCUGACGGAGCAACGCCGCGUGAGUGAUGAAGGUCUUCGGAUCGUAAAACUCUGUUAUUAGGGAAGAACAUAUGUGUAAGUACCUGUGCACAUCUUGACGGUACCUAAUCAGAAAGCCACGGCUAACUACGUG
Molecule: ribosomal RNA, 497 nt
Filed under: uncultured bacterium
Lineage: Bacteria
Description: partial 16S ribosomal RNA
Rfam family: Bacterial small subunit ribosomal RNA
Source: RNAcentral